GCCUUCGUGGUGUAGUGGUUAGCACACUCAGUUCGUAGGACUCGGAGAGAGGUCCUGGGUUCGAGUCCCGGCGAGGGUA
This 79-nucleotide transfer RNA is filed under the name Stegodyphus mimosarum. It matches the Rfam family "tRNA". Rfam says of the family: Transfer RNA (tRNA) molecules are approximately 80 nucleotides in length. Their secondary structure includes four short double-helical elements and three loops (D, anti-codon, and T loops). The record is from Rfam by way of RNAcentral. Lineage: Eukaryota; Metazoa; Arthropoda; Arachnida; Araneae; Eresidae.